AGAGUUUGAUCCUGGCUCAGAAUGAACGCUAGCGAUAUGCUUAACACAUGCAAGUUGAACGUUGUUUUCGAAUCAAAAUGAAAACAAAGUGGCGAACGGGUGCGUAACACGUAGGAAUCUGCCAAACAGUUUGGGCCAAAUCCUGAAUGAAUAAAAGCUAAAAAGCGCUGUUUGAUGAGCCCACGUAGUAUUAGGUAGUUGGUUAGGUAAAAGCUGACCAAGCCUACGAUGCUUAGCUGGUCUGAGAGGAUGAUCAGCCACACUGGGACUGAGACACGGCCCAGACUCCUACGGGAGGCAGCAGUGGGGAAUUUUCCGCAAUGGGCGAAAGCCUGACGGAGCAAUAUGGCGUGAGUGAAGAAGGGCAACGCAGCUUGUAAAGCUCUUUCAUCGAGUGUGCGAUUGUGACAAGACUCGAAUAAUAAGCAUCGGCUAACUCUGUGCCAGCAGCCGCGGUAAGACGGGGGGGGCUAGUGUUAUUCGGAAUGACUAGGCGUAAAGGGCACGUAGGCGGUGAAUCCGGUUGAAAGUGAAAGUCGCCAGCUCAACUGGCGGAAUGCUUUCAAAACCAAUUCACUUGAGUAAGAUAGAGGAUAGUGGAAUUUCGUGUGUAGAGAUAAAAUUCACAGAUAUACGAAGGAACACCAAAAGCGAAGGCAGCUUUCUGGGUCUCUACUGACGCUGAGGUGCGAAAGCAUAGGGAGCAAACAGGAUUAGAUACCCUGGUAGUCUAUGCCGUAAACGAUGAGUGUUCGUCCUUGGUCUGCGCUGUAUGCAAAACGGCUGAUCAGGGGCCCAGCUAACGCGUUAAGUAUCCCGCCUGGGGAGUACGUUCGCAAGAAUGAAACUCAAAGGAAUUGACGGGGGCCCGCACAAGCGGUGGAGCAUGUGGUUUAAUUCGAUGCAACGCGAAGAACCUUACCAGGGCUUGACAUAUGAAUAAGUUUGCUUGUCCUUAAUGGGACGGUACGAAAAUUUAUACAGGUGGUGCAUGGCUGUCGUCAGCUCGUGCCGUAAGGUGUUGGGUUAAGUCCCGCAACGAGCGCAACCCUCGUUUUGUGUUGCUAAGACAUGUGUUUUGGGGUCUUUGUAAAAUUGACAAUCCAUGCCAUGUACUGCACUCACAAGAAACUGCCAGUGAUAUACUGGAGGAAGGUGAGGAUGACGUCAAGUCAGCAUGCCCCUUACGCCCUGGGCGACACACGUGCUACAAUGGCAAUUACAAUAGGAAGCAAGGCUUUAAGGCGGAGCGAAUCCAGAAAGAUAGCCUCAGUUCGGAUUGUUCUCUGCAACUCGAGAACAUGAAGUUGGAAUCGCUAGUAAUCGCGGAUCAGCAUGCCGCGGUGAAUAUGUACUCAGGCCCUGUACACACCGCCCGUCACACCAUGGGAAUUGGCUUCGCCCGAAGCAUCAAACCAAGGAUCACCCAUUAUUUCAGUGUUCUACGCCGUUGUUGAGUGUGGCCUACUAGAGUAAUUGGUGGUCUAAUGUGGGAUACCAAGGUGGGGCCUUUGACUGAGGUGAAGUCGUAACAAGGUAGCCGUAGGGGAACCUGUGGCUG
This 1561-nucleotide ribosomal RNA is filed under the name Entosthodon obtusus. RNAcentral's name for it is "bacterial SSU rRNA". It matches the Rfam family "Bacterial small subunit ribosomal RNA". Lineage: Eukaryota; Viridiplantae; Streptophyta; Bryopsida; Funariales; Funariaceae. The record is from RNAcentral.